GACGAACGCUGGCGGCGUGCUUAACACAUGCAAGUCGAACGGAAAGGCCCUGCUUUUGUGGGGUGCUCGAGUGGCGAACGGGUGAGUAACACGUGAGUAACCUGCCCUUGACUUUGGGAUAAAUUCAGGAAACUGGGGCUAAUACCGGAUAGGAGCUCCUGCUGCAUGGCGGGGGUUGGAAAGUUUCGGCGGUUGGGGAUGGACUCGCGGCUUAUCAGCUUGGUGGUGGGGUAGUGGCUUACCAAGGCUUUGACGGGUAGCCGGCCUGGGAGGGUGACCGGCCACAUUGGGACUGAGAUGCGGCCCAGACUCCUACGGGAGGCAGCAGUGGGGAAUAUUGCACAAUGGGCGGAAGCCUGAUGCAGCAACGCCGCGUGCGGGAUGACGGCCUUCGGGUUGUAAACCGCUUUCGCCUGUGACGAAGCGUGAGUGACGGUAAUGGGUAAAGAAGCACCGGCUAACUACGUG
This 468-nucleotide ribosomal RNA is filed under the name uncultured bacterium. RNAcentral describes it as "partial 16S ribosomal RNA". It matches the Rfam family "Bacterial small subunit ribosomal RNA", at positions 28 to 507 of the family's 1533-position model. The record is from RNAcentral.